CUACGGGCUGCACCAGUGAGGAAUAUUGCACAAUGGGGGGAACCCUGAUGCAGCAACGCCGCGUGGAGGAUGACGCAUUUCGGUGUGUAAACUCCUUUUAUAUGUCAAGAAAAUGACGGUAGCAUAUGAAUAAGCACCGGCUAACUCCGUGCCAGCAGCCGCGGUAAUACGGAGGGUGCAAGCGUUACUCGGAAUCACUGGGCGUAAAGGACGCGUAGGCGGGUUGGAAAGUCAGGUGUGAAAUCCUACAGCUUAACUGUAGAACUGCACUUGAAACUUCUAAUCUAGAGUAUGGGAGGGUGAGAUGGAAUUAGUGGUGUAGGGGUAAAAUCCGUAGAUAUCACUAGGAAUACCUAAAGCGAAGGCGAUCUCCUGGAACAUUACUGACGCUAAGGCGUGAAAGCGUGGGGAGCAAACAGGAUUAGAUACCCCUGUAGUC
RNAcentral lists this ribosomal RNA (439 nucleotides) under uncultured bacterium. RNAcentral's name for it is "partial 16S ribosomal RNA". It matches the Rfam family "Bacterial small subunit ribosomal RNA", at positions 339 to 795 of the family's 1533-position model. The record is from RNAcentral.